AGUGAACGCUGGCGGUAGGCCUAACACAUGCAAGUCGAACGGCAGCACAGUAAGAGCUUGCUCUUACGGGUGGCGAGUGGCGGACGGGUGAGGAAUACAUCGGAAUCUACUUUUUCGUGGGGGAUAACGUAGGGAAACUUACGCUAAUACCGCAUACGACCUACGGGUGAAAGCAGGGGAUCUUCGGACCUUGCGCGAUUGAAUGAGCCGAUGUCGGAUUAGCUAGUUGGCGGGGUAAAGGCCCACCAAGGCGACGAUCCGUAGCUGGUCUGAGAGGAUGAUCAGCCACACUGGAACUGAGACACGGUCCAGACUCCUACGGGAGGCAGCAGUGGGGAAUAUUGGACAAUGGGCGCAAGCCUGAUCCAGCCAUACCGCGUGGGUGAAGAAAGCCUUCGGGUUGUAAAGCCCUUUUGUUGGGAAAGAAAAGCAGCAGGUUAAUACCCCGCUGUUCUGACGGUACCCAAAGAAUAAGCACCGGCUAACUUCGU
RNAcentral lists this ribosomal RNA (491 nucleotides) under uncultured bacterium. RNAcentral describes it as "partial 16S ribosomal RNA". It matches the Rfam family "Bacterial small subunit ribosomal RNA", at positions 29 to 506 of the family's 1533-position model. The record is from RNAcentral.